RNAcentral lists this ribosomal RNA (200 nucleotides) under Clostridia bacterium. RNAcentral describes it as "partial 23S ribosomal RNA". It matches the Rfam family "Bacterial large subunit ribosomal RNA", at positions 2710 to 2925 of the family's 2925-position model. The record is from RNAcentral. Lineage: Bacteria; Bacillati; Bacillota; Clostridia.
CGGUGCACCGGUUGUUCCACCAGGAGCAUAGCCGGGUAGCCGAGUUCGGAUCGGAUAAACGCUGAAAGCAUCUAAGCGUGAAACCGGCCCCAAGAUGAGAUAUCCAUAGACCCCACAAAGACUAUGUGGUUGAUAGGUCAAGAGUGUAAGCACGGUAACGUGUUAGCGGAUUGAUACUAAUAGGUCGGAAGUUUGACCAA